CCUACGGGUGGCAGCAGUGGGGAAUAUUGGGCAAUGGAGGAAACUCUGACCCAGCAACGCCGCGUGAAUGAUGCAGGUCUUCGGAUUGUAAAGUUCUUUUCUAAGGGAAGAAGCACGUGACGGUACCUUAGGAAUAAGCCUCGGCUAACUACGUGCCAGCAGCCGCGGUAAUACGUAGGACGCAAGCGUGAUUCGGAAUGACUGGGCGUAAAGGGUGCGUAGGUGGUUUGGCAAGUUGGUAGCGUAACUCCGGGGCUCAACCUCGGCACUGCUACCAAAACUGUCGGACUUGAGUGCAGGAGGGGCAGAUGGAAUUCCUGGUGGAGCGGUGGAAUGCGUAGAUAUUAGGAGGAACACCAGUGGCGAAGGCGAUUUGCUGGACUGUAACUGACGCUGAGGCACGAAAGCGUGGGGAGCGAACAGGAUUAGAUACCCGGGUAGUC
Molecule: ribosomal RNA, 443 nt
Filed under: uncultured bacterium
Lineage: Bacteria
Description: partial 16S ribosomal RNA
Rfam family: Bacterial small subunit ribosomal RNA
Source: RNAcentral